This 492-nucleotide ribosomal RNA is filed under the name uncultured bacterium. Its description in RNAcentral is "partial 16S ribosomal RNA". It matches the Rfam family "Bacterial small subunit ribosomal RNA", at positions 29 to 507 of the family's 1533-position model. The record is from RNAcentral.
AGUGAACGCUGGCGGUAGGCCUAACACAUGCAAGUCGAACGGCAGCACAGUAAGAGCUUGCUCUUACGGGUGGCGAGUGGCGGACGGGUGAGGAAUACAUCGGAAUCUACUUUUUCGUGGGGGAGAACGUAGGGAAACUUACGCUAAUACCGCAUACGACCUACGGGUGAAAGCAGGGGCUCUUCGGACCUUGCGCGAUUGAAUGAGCCGAUGUCGGAUUAGCUAGUUGGCGUGGUAAAGGCCCACCAAGGCGACGAUCCGUAGCUGGUCUGAGAGGAUGAUCAGCCACACUGGAACUGAGACACGGUCCAGACUCCUACGGGAGGCAGCAGUGGGGAAUAUUGGACAAUGGGCGCAAGCCUGAUCCAGCCAUACCGCGUGGGUGAAGAAGGCCUUCGGGUUGUAAAGCCCUUUUGUUGGGAAAGAAAAGCAGCAGGUUAAUACCCCGCUGUUCUGACGGUACCCAAAGAAUAAGCACCGGCUAACUUCGUG